CUCCGGAGCUGAUAGAGACCUGCGCUUUGACGAGUGGCAGCUGUUCUAUGUGGGCAGUUUGCAACUGUCUCUUGCUGGAGCAGAAGGGCUGCAGGUUGGCUUGGAGACAGCACUGCUUGACAGAAGAUACCUGCUUUCCUAAUGCCCGCAAAAGUACAAGGCCCAAGAGUAUGAACUUCUUGGAGCUGCUUUGCACUUGAUGCAAUCCUGGCCUCAGUAGAGAAGCCUGUCAAGUGGAGCUGGAGGUCUCUGAUAGAGGAGAACAUGGACACCGUGGUGCCAGCAUUCCUCAGGCUUUGAUCCUUGGACCAGCUUGAUCCUGCAUUCUUACAUUAGUGGGUGAUAGCACUGAACUUCCAGAAGCAGUGGUCUUCAUUUCAUGUGGCAAAUGCUUGUAAAGUGGGUUCUGCCCUUAUAAGUAAAGAACAGAGGAGCGAAAGGUUGGCUUGGAGUACUCGGAGACAGCACUGCUUGACAGAAGAUACCCUGCUAUCCUAAUGUCCUCAAAAGUACAACACCCAAGAGUAUGAACUUCCUGGAGCUGCUUUGCACUUGAUGCAAUCCUGGUCUCAGUAGAGAGGCCUUGCAAGUGGAGCUGGAGGUCUCGGGUAGAGGAGAACAUGGAGUCGGUGGUGCCAGCAUUCCCCAGCCUAGUGGGAGCUGGUGUGCCACUGCCUUGACAUUACUGACCCUACCUCAGAGGACUCCCAGCAUACUGGACUGUACCUGUCUUAGGUUGUCCUAUUUUCCAGGAUUGACUUCCAGCCCUCAAAGAGAUAUCACUCCAGAGGCAUGUCAUACAAGGGGGAGAUGAGGAACGGCCUACAGGAUGGUCUCAUGGAUCUCUGCCAUUCAUGCUUUCAUCACUUCCUUGGGGGAGGGGUUGUGCAAUAAGGAUUUUCAGGAGCCAUCAGCACCUGGAAGGUCACCUUAUUUAUUGAAUGCUGUCUUGAGAUAUGCUGUGUGAAACACUUAAAAUAAUAAUUAUUACACCAUUCCUCCCACCAUAACAUAAGUGGCUAUUCAAGAGGGAUCAAACAGCUAUUGUCUCACACUUUUCCAAGAAUCUGGCAUCAAGUGAAAGCAGAGAUACACUGGUCAUAUUGAAACUGGCUAUGUUCUCCCUUAACAGCA
Mus musculus (house mouse) is the source of this 1134-nucleotide long non-coding RNA. RefSeq annotates it as predicted gene, 33067. The record is from RefSeq and is a predicted model, not a curated record. Lineage: Eukaryota; Metazoa; Chordata; Mammalia; Rodentia; Muridae. The transcript has 5 exons.